This 253-nucleotide ribosomal RNA is filed under the name uncultured bacterium. Its description in RNAcentral is "partial 16S ribosomal RNA". It matches the Rfam family "Bacterial small subunit ribosomal RNA", at positions 524 to 776 of the family's 1533-position model. The record is from RNAcentral.
GACGAACCGUGCGAACGUUGUUCGGAAUCACUGGGCAUAAAGGGCGCGUAGGCGGCUUUUCAAGUCAGGGGUGAAAUCCGGCAGCUCAACUGUCGAAGUGCCUUUGAUACUGGGAAGCUCGAGGGAGGUAGGGGUGUGUGGAACUUCCGGUGGAGCGGUGAAAUGCGUUGAUAUCGGAAGGAACGCCGGUGGCGAAAGCGACGCACUGGACCUCUUCUGACGCUGAGGCGCGAAAGCGUGGGGAGCAAACAGG